Molecule: long non-coding RNA, 1650 nt
Organism: Asterias rubens (European starfish)
Lineage: Eukaryota; Metazoa; Echinodermata; Asteroidea; Forcipulatida; Asteriidae
Exons: 2
Source: RefSeq, a predicted model, not a curated record
AUUAUCUUCAAACUGUGUAGGUUUAAUAUAAAUCUGUGGACUUUGUGUUACAAAAAGUACCCAAAUCCUUUAAUCCUGAACCCUUACGUUCUCUUAAAUUAUCUUCGGUCAUCAAUCCAGCCUCAUGUCAAAUCUACACAGUCCUCUCUUUUAGGACAUGUACAUGCUUCCUGAAGGCACUUAAAAGUCAAAGCUACGUAUAUGACUAAAAAAGCACUAACAAACUUUUCUUUUGUUCUGACCCCGGUGGGCACAACCAGUACUGCACAUUGAAAGAGUUGCAACAACUUGCGAUAAGCCAUUUUGUGUCCUAAAACCGCACCGUCAAACACAUGGUGAGAGACUAUAGUUUGCCCAUUUGGAGCAAGUUCGACAUUUUAGUCGACUACUGACCAGCAAUGUACAUGCACAGUGACUCACUCACAGGAACGACUCGUUUGAAAAUCUUGUCAACUAUCGAGAAUUCACUCUAUUGCCUUCCCCAUUUUUCACUGCAGUGUCACUGGUUCCCUUCUGCGCUUUACACACGCUAGAAACCAUAGUCAUGAGGUCAACCAGCCUAGGUUUGGGUCAAAAUACGCACAAAGUGCAAACUCGAACUUGCUCUAGGCAUGUAUAUUAUAUGAAUUACUCAGGAUCGGAUUCAAACCCAAGACCUUUGCAAUUCUAGGGCAUCUGGAGGUUGCUAUAACAAAAGCUUGCACUAAUCAUGUGACAAAGCAAGAGUCUCUAUAGUUUAAGGAAUUAAACUUGUUACUAAGCAAGUCAUUGUGCCAGACAUUAUUUAAAUUUAACUCGCAAAUUGCUUAUUCUCUGAGGUAAAAGUAGCGCGAAUAAUCAGGAAAUAUUUCUAAGGCACUUCACAUUAUUAUUACACUUAGAAAAGAUUAUAAAACCCUGUCUGUACUGAUCACAAAAACACAUCUACCCAAUUUACGAUCUACAUCCAUGAUAAAAACAUCAACUAUAUUACUAAACCACAUUGCGAACCAACUGGGUAAAUUGGAAUUCAUUAAAAAUACCUAUUUAGAAUUUUUAGUUUCUGGUCAAAUCGGACAAAAGUUUGACCAAGCAUCUAUAAAUUGAACACAUGAUUUAACUGGCAAAAUUCUCUGUUACUAAUAGCGAUUUUACAAUGUACCUUAGAUGUAUGCUACAUGAUUUUUGUGUUCUCCUUCCCACUGAAAUGGAAAAUCUUGAAGCAUAUGAGAAACUAUUGAAGGUGCACCAAGUCCAAGACCAUGGGCAACAGAUGGCAUUGCCUCCAUGCAUUUCUAAGGCUGAUACCGAGCUAUAUGCCAAACUUCAUAUGUAUGUCUAUUCUUGCAAUAAGUUUGUGCAAUAUGACACAUCUUUUUGUGAAAGGAUAAGUCUUUACACGUUUACAAAUAAUUUUGAGAUUUACUACUAUAGAACUCAAACCUGCGACUGCCGGUUUAACGUGCCUGCACAAUGCCAAUUCUGAGCUUAUUGUUUCUGCUUAGCAAGAUUUUGUUGUGCUAAGCAACAAUAUGAAAGGACGGGUUUAGAAUAUUUCUUUUAAUAAUUACAAAAUAAUCCCUAUGUGUGUACAAACUCAAUGGAGCAAUGCUACUUCUUUUUUUUUUUUACUAUUUACACAUUCACACCAAAAAAAAAAAAAAAAGAGGA